This 200-nucleotide ribosomal RNA is filed under the name uncultured bacterium. RNAcentral describes it as "partial 16S ribosomal RNA". It matches the Rfam family "Bacterial small subunit ribosomal RNA", at positions 524 to 724 of the family's 1533-position model. The record is from RNAcentral.
UACAGAGGUCCCGAGCGUUGUUCGGAUUCACUGGGCGUAAAGGGUGCGCAGGUGGGUUGGCAAGUUUGAUGUGAAAGCCCCGGGCUUAACCCGGGAAAGGCAUUGAAUACUGCUGAUCUGGAGGAUCGGAGGGGGGACUGGAAUUCUGGUGUAGCAGUGAAAUGCGUAGAUAUCAAGAGGAACACCAGUGGCGAAGGCGA